This 472-nucleotide ribosomal RNA is filed under the name Halamphora pellucida. RNAcentral's name for it is "eukaryotic LSU rRNA". It matches the Rfam family "Eukaryotic large subunit ribosomal RNA", at positions 50 to 548 of the family's 3401-position model. The record is from RNAcentral. Lineage: Eukaryota; Bacillariophyta; Bacillariophyceae; Naviculales; Amphipleuraceae.
GCGGAGGAAAAGAAACUAACCAGGAUUCCCUCAGUAAGGGCGACUGAAGCGGGAAUAGCUCAGGAUGUGAAUCUGCAGCCGAAUUGUGGUCUGUAGACCGUGACGUUAUCUGCCGGGCCAAGUCCCUUGGAAAAGGGCAGCAGAGAGGGUGAGACUCCCGUCCGCCUGGUGGAGCGAGUUGCGUGGACGAGUCGAGUUGUUUGGGAUUGCAGCUCAAAUUGGGUGGUAAAUUCCAUCUAAAGCUAAAUAUUGGUGGGAGACCGAUAGCGUACAAGUACCGUGAGGGAAAGAUGCAAAGAACUUUGAAAAGAGAGUUAAAAAGUACCUGAAAUUGCUGAAAGGGAAGCGAAGGAAACCAGUGUCGUGCUUGGCCAUACUUCCCUGUCCACCUGUGGAUAGGGCGCUGUGACCGGCUUGGGUUUGCCUUGGUUGUGCCGUUCGGAAGAGCGCCUACAGAGUUGAUGUGGGUUGC